Molecule: ribosomal RNA, 355 nt
Filed under: uncultured bacterium
Lineage: Bacteria
Description: bacterial SSU rRNA
Rfam family: Bacterial small subunit ribosomal RNA
Source: RNAcentral
GUGAGUAGUUCAGAGUUUGAUCCUGGCUCAGGAUGAACGCUGGCGGCGUGCUUAACACAUGCAAGUCGAACGAAGCACUUACUUGGAAGUUUUCGGAUGGAAAAGUAAGUGACUGAGUGGCGGACGGGUGAGUAACGCGUGGGCAACCUGCCCCAUACCGGGGGAUAACAGCUGGAAACGGCUGCUAAUACCGCAUAAGCGCACGGUCUCGCAUGAGACAGUGUGAAAAACUCCGGUGGUAUAUGAUGGACCCGCGUCUGAUUAGCUAGUUGGUAAGGUAACGGCUUACCAAGGCGACGAUCAGUAGCCGGCCUGAGAGGGUGAACGGCCACAUUGGGACUGAGACACGGCCCAA